This 253-nucleotide ribosomal RNA is filed under the name uncultured bacterium. RNAcentral's name for it is "partial 16S ribosomal RNA". It matches the Rfam family "Bacterial small subunit ribosomal RNA", at positions 524 to 776 of the family's 1533-position model. The record is from RNAcentral.
UACGGAGGGUGCGAGCGUUAUCCGGAAUUACUGGGCUUAAAGGGCGCGCAGGCGGCCUGGCUAGUCUGGGGUGAAAUCUCAUCGCUUAACGGUGAAACUGCCUUAGAUACUGCCAGUCUUGAAUCAGCGAGAGGUUCGUGGAAUUCCGAGUGUAGCAGUGAAAUGUGUAGAUAUUCGGAAGAACACCAGUGGCGAAGGCAGCGAACUGGCGCUCGAUUGACGCUCAGGCACGAAAGCAUGGGGAUCAAACAGG